RNAcentral lists this ribosomal RNA (626 nucleotides) under Galerina arctica. Its description in RNAcentral is "eukaryotic LSU rRNA". The stretch from base 281 to 434 matches the Rfam family "5.8S ribosomal RNA". Lineage: Eukaryota; Fungi; Basidiomycota; Agaricomycetes; Agaricales; Galerinaceae. The record is from RNAcentral.
UAACAAGGUUUCCGUAGGUGAACCUGCGGAAGGAUCAUUAUUGAAUAAACCUGAUGUGGUUGUAGCUGGCCCUUUCGGGGGUAUGUGCCCACCCGUCAUCUUUAUCUUUCCACCUGUGCACCUUUUGUAGACCUGGAUAUAACACUUUCUGAGGAAACUUAGUCGGGAGAAAUGUUGCGCUUCACAGCCAGCUUUUCUUGUAUGUCCAGGCCUAUGUUUUCAUAUACCCCAAAAAUGUAACAGAAUGUAUCAUUGGGCCUUGUGCCUAUAAACUAUAUACAACUUUCAGCAACGGAUCUCUUGGCUCUCGCAUCGAUGAAGAACGCAGCGAAAUGCGAUAAGUAAUGUGAAUUGCAGAAUUCAGUGAAUCAUCGAAUCUUUGAACGCACCUUGCGCUCCUUGGUAUUCCGAGGAGCAUGCCUGUUUGAGUGUCAUUAAAUUCUCAACCUUAUCAGCUUUUGUUGAUAAUGGCUUGGAUGUGGGGGUUUUGGCUGGCUUCGNCAAGAGGUCUGCUCCCCUUAAAUGCAUUAGCCGGUACCCUGCGUGGACUGUCUAUUGGUGUGAUAAUUAUCUACGCCGUGGAUGUCUGCUCUUUAUGGGUUGUACUGCUUCUAACCAUCCAUUUA